RNAcentral lists this ribosomal RNA (253 nucleotides) under uncultured bacterium. RNAcentral's name for it is "partial 16S ribosomal RNA". It matches the Rfam family "Bacterial small subunit ribosomal RNA", at positions 524 to 776 of the family's 1533-position model. The record is from RNAcentral.
UACGUAGGGGGCAAGCGUUGUCCGGAUUUAUUGGGCGUAAAGAGCGUGUAGGCGGUUUGGUAGGUCCGCUGUGAAAACUCGAGCUCAACCUCGAGACGCCGGUGGAAACCAUCAGACUAGAGUCCGGAAGAGGAGAGUGGAAUUCCUGGUGUAGCGGUGAAAUGCGCAGAUAUCAGGAAGAACACCCGUGGCUAAGGCGGCUCUCUAGUACGGUACUGACGCUGAGACGCGAAAGCCGUGGGGAGCGAACAGG